UCUAAAGAGACUCAAACUUCCUCCUUCAGUUCAGCUCAACUCUCCAACAGUAACUCUGAUCAACAUGCUGUCUCUGCUCACAUCUGGAUUCACUCUGCUGGUUCUGAUCUCUGGAUCAGGUGUAAACUGUCAACAACUCACUGCAGGAAAGACUGAGGAGUUCAGUUCAGAGGGCAGCUCUGUUACUCUGACCUGCAGUUACUCCAACAAGAUAGCUCUUGGUGAUGAUUUCUUUUGGUAUCGACAAAAUCCUGGAAAACCUCCAGAGUUCAUCUUGUACAUCUCAGGACUCAACAACUCAAGAUCAGCAGAGUCUCUGAAAUCAUUAACGAGAUUCUCCACUUACCUGAGAGGAGAGAAACAGAUGGACCUGCUGAUCUCCUCUGCUGCAGUGACAGACUCUGCUGUGUACUACUGCGCUGUGAGGCCCACAGUGACAGGAAACACCAGAACCCUGUACAAGAACCUGCAGUACUCCACAGCAGCCACUAGAGGGCCUCACUCACUGCUCUGCUUCUAUGGUUUGUUAGGUUUCAGUCUGAUUGUUUAUGAGACAAUAAAAAACUGAACAGAGAGAGAAAACAAUCCCUCUGAUAAGUCGGUCUAGUUGGAUGACAUUUGCAUAACUAUUUCUAUGAAAUAUUUUCAUUAUUGAUCACUGGAUCAGCUCCAUAUUUUAUAAUCAGCAGUGUUUUAUUAAUUGCAAGAUGCUAUAAAGUUGCUGCUGGAUACCUGCAUGGCAUCUCCAUCUGGACCUCAGAGAACAGAAAGACUCUGGCUCUUUCCAAGCUCCCAGCUCUCAGUGCUUUGGUACCAAAACCCAACCUGGGGAUCGGUUGGACCACCAAGACUGGCACAUCGGACUCCUGCCAGUACCAGAUUUUGAAAGGUGCCAUGAACAGACAGCUUUCUUUUACACGCUACUUAAAACCUGGAAAGAAAUCUAACACCUAAAAAACUUUUCAAAAGUAAGGACUUUUUAAAAAGUCCUGUUUGUUAUCUGAUGGACAAACAUUAGAAUAAAGAAGGAACAUGUUUAUUAUCCCAGACCCCAGACAGGACUCCUACCUGGACUCUGGCAGCCUCACCUGACUGCAGCUUACCAACAUGCUGACAAUAUUUUAGUAGUUUAUCACGAGUUAAUUCCUGGGAGAAGUCAGAGUCUCUCUCCAGGGAAAAGGCCAAUAUUUAAACCAUGAGGCUGUUUGUGAACAAGCAGCAGAUCACUUUUUAAAUGAUGAUGAAGGUGAUAAGCUGAGCUGAAGAUGCUGCCUGGACCCCCAUGAAGAGAUGCAGAGACUGUAGCUCUUUGGGAAACUCUCCAUUAGCUUUGUUUCCUCCAGAUUGUGCACCGGUCUGUAAAAUGGGCUUGUGUUUAAUAAAAAUGUUAUUUUUAUUCAUCUUAGUCUUCCUGUAGGUGUUUUCACUUCCACAUCUCACAGAGGGAUGUUACAGACAAAUCCAUAUCCACUCUGUCAGA
Molecule: non-coding RNA, 1480 nt
Organism: Gambusia affinis (western mosquitofish)
Lineage: Eukaryota; Metazoa; Chordata; Actinopteri; Cyprinodontiformes; Poeciliidae
Source: the annotation of a RefSeq genome assembly